Long non-coding RNA from Orcinus orca (killer whale), 453 nucleotides. RefSeq lists it as uncharacterized. The record is from RefSeq and is a predicted model, not a curated record. Lineage: Eukaryota; Metazoa; Chordata; Mammalia; Artiodactyla; Delphinidae. The transcript is spliced from 3 exons.
GUGACUUACAUGCCAACGGUAGGAGGUAAACUUAGAAGUAUUCAGGGCGCUGCCACACUGGCAAGGUUUUCAGAGGUCCCACUGGUCUGGGACAGGCCAGACAUACCUUCUAAGGUAAAGCACACGUAGCAGAAAUGUCGAGUCAUCUACUACCAAGAAAGAAACACAGUGCUAGGUGCACCCACCUCCUGGGACUUUAGGAGCUGCCCACUUGGCUUACGAUCUGGCAGAACUGAUGGCGACAGACUCCAUACCCACUACGAUGGAUAAGGAUGCCUCAUCGCGGCUCUGGCAGGCCCCAUGAGGAGAGUCACAGUGUAGACCUUUAGCAUUCUGGAGGAGAAGUUGGCAGUCUGCAACCCUGAAGAGGGCUGUCACCAGACGCUGAAUCCACUGGUGUCAUGAUCCUGGACUCCCCAACCUCCAGAACCAUGAGAAAUAAAUGUUUGUUGU